GGAGGUAGCUCAGGGAUAGAGCUUCUGCUUUGCAUGCAGAUGUUACCAGGUUCAAGCCCUGGCAACUCCA
This is a non-coding RNA of Podarcis lilfordi (Lilford's wall lizard), 70 nucleotides long. The record is from the annotation of a GenBank genome assembly. NCBI's taxonomy places the organism in Eukaryota, Metazoa, Chordata, Lepidosauria, Squamata, Lacertidae.